AGAGUUUGAUCCUGGCUCAGAGCGAACGCUGGCGGCGUGGAUUAGGCAUGCAAGUCGAACGGGAUCCGGUGGAAUCAAUUCUUCGGAAGAGAGACUGCCGGUGAGAGUGGCGAACGGGUGAGUAACACGUGGGCAAGUUGCCCCAAAGUCUGGAAUAGCCCUCCGAAAGGAGGGGUAAUACCGGUUGUGGUCGUCCCUCGCAUGGGGGAUUUUCUAAAGGUGGGGAUCUUCGGACCUGCCGCUUUGGGAUGCGCCCGCGGCCCAUCAGCUUGUUGGUGAGGUAACGGCUCACCAAGGCUACAACGGGUAGCUGGUCUGAGAGGAUGGUCAGCCACACUGGGACUGAGACACUGCCCAGACUCCUACGGGAGGCUGCAGUCGAGAAUCAUUGUCAAUGCGCGAAAGCGUGAACAUGCGACGCCGCGUGGAGGAUGAAGGCCUUCGGGUUGUAAACUCCUGUCAUGAGGGAAAAACAGUCUGGUCGUGAAUAGCGGCCGGACCUGAUGGUACCUCAAGAGGAAGCCACGGCUAACUCUGUGCCAGCAGCCGCGGUAAUACAGAGGUGGCGAGCGUUGCUCGGAUUUACUGGGCGUAAAGGGUGCGUAGGCGGUUCUGUGUGUCGGGUGUGAAAUCUCACCGUCCAACGGUGAAACUGCAUUCGAAACUGCAGAACUCGAGUACAGGAGGGGAGAGCGGAAUUUUCGGUGUAGCGGUGAAAUGCGUGGAUAUCGAGAAGAACGCCGGUGGCGAAGGCGGCUCUCUGGACUGAUACUGACGCUGAGGCACGAAAGCUGGGGGAGCGAACAGGAUUAGAUACCCUGGUAGUCCCAGCCGUAAACGUUGUGCACUUGGUGUGGGCCGGAUUGCCCCGGUCUGUGCCGGAGCUAACGCGUUAAGUGCACCGCCUGGAGAGUACGGCCGCAAGGCUAAAACUCAAAGGAAUUGACGGGGGCCCGCACAAGCGGUGGAGCAUGUGGCUUAAUUCGAUGCAACGCGAAGAACCUUACCUGGGCUUGACAUGCAGGUGGUACGAAUCCGAAAAGAUGAGGACCCUUCGGGGAGCCUGCACAGGUGCUGCAUGGCUGUCGUCAGCUCGUGCCGUGAGGUGUUGGGUUAAGUCCCGCAACGAGCGCAACCCUUGUGGUUAGUUGCCCCUUCCGUCGAGAGGCGGGAAGCACUCUAGCCAGACUGCCCGUGACAAGCGGGAGGAAGGUGGGGAUGACGUCAAGUCAGUAUGGUCCUUACGCCCAGGGCUGCACACGUGCUACAAUGGUUGGUACAGAGCGAAGCAAGACCGCGAGGUGGAGCAAAUCGUCAAAACCAGCCCAAGUUCGGAUUGGAGUCUGCAACUCGACUCCAUGAAGCCGGAAUCGCUAGUAAAGGCGCAUCAGCUACGGCGCCUUGAAUACGUUCCCGGGCCUUGUACACACCGCCCGUCACAUCACGAAAGUCGAUUGCACCCGAAGUCGCCGGGCUAACCGCAAGGAAGCAGGCGCCGAAGGUGUGGUUGGUAAUUGGGAUGAAGUCGAAACAAGGUA
Molecule: ribosomal RNA, 1538 nt
Filed under: metagenome
Description: bacterial SSU rRNA
Rfam family: Bacterial small subunit ribosomal RNA
Source: RNAcentral